AUGACACGAACCCAGCACACGACACGCAGCUGCAGCAGCAGCAGCAGCAGUAGCAAUGAUUUACAGCAUGCGCAACAGCGACGUCGCCGUCAAAUGUCAACGCAGUUUUUCGCAUUGUUGUUGCUGCUUUUGAUCAGCUGCAGCGCAGCGGCGACUGCGCAGUCCCGUUACUACUACACAUCAACAUCGGAUGCACAACAUGGCGCCAGCAAGGUGCGAACACAGCGUCAAGCAGCAGCGUCAGCGGCGACAGCAAGUGUCAUCGAUGAGACAGCAGAUGCGUCGAGCUGCUGCCAAGGCGCUGCCGCUGCCGGCGCUGAGCCUGUCACGCUGUCUCUCGAGCUAAGCAAUGUGACGACAGAGUACACAGAUGUUGAGGGCAAGAGCAGCUCGAGGGAACAAUUUAAGCGAAGUGCCGAUCAACCGCCUUUGGCGAUGGCCGCCAGCUGUUCGCCACAACCGACAAUCGUGGAUCUAAAUGUGGGCCAAGAGGAGGCGGAGCAAAGUGGCGGCAAUGUGCGCUAUGCUCCAGUCUGCACACGCGUCAAUCGCUGCAGCGGCUGCUGCGGCUCCACGUUGAUUGCCUGCCAACCGACGGAGACGGAGGCGUUGCAGAUGCGAGUGCGUAAAUUGGAUGGCAGCAAUAGCAAGAAGAAGGUGUAUGUGAUUGUGACGGUGGAGCAGCAUGUGAAAUGCAAAUGCGAUUGCCGGAUACGUGCCGAGGAUUGCAACUCGUAUCAGGAGUAUCGCAAGGAUCUGUGUCGCUGCGAGUGCCAAAAUACGGAUGCCCGUGACAAGUGCUUGGAGCAAUCGGAGAACAAGUAUUGGGACGAUGCCAAUUGCACCUGCGCCUGUCGCUACAAUCAGAGCUGCACCACCGGCACCAUCUUCGAUGAGUCGCAAUGCAAAUGCACCGAUAUCAAAAGUCUCGAGUAUUAUUCCUAAAAAGAAAAAAAAAACACACACACACACCUAAACAUUGUUGUUAUUGUCUUGAUGUUCAAACGUUUUCCAAUUUGCGAACUUUUGCAUAUGGGAUUUCGUUUGAAUAUUGUGAAAUUCCGUGAUAAGAAUAAAAGGCAGCUUUAUUUCAAGAUUGUUAGGAAUUUUCACUAUUGACACUAUAAAAAUAGCCAACAAAAUAGCUGAGUAAAAGACAAAUAUAAAUUAAUCAUUAAUGUUAACAAUCUUUUGGACCGUUUUGUGAUAUGUAAGAAAAAAUGUAAAACAAAAAUGUAAUAAUUAUUGGCAAUGUAGGAAAAAUGUUUAAGGCAAAUUGUAAACUUAUAGCUGAGUUGAGGCCCAAAAAGUAAAUAGGAACAACAAUUGUAUUUGUUGCAUUGUCCAUCAGCACCUAGCGACUAUUCGGAUCGCAGACGCUUCAUUGUCCAGGCCAUUCCAGUAGAGCCGGAUAAUAGCACCCUCUACACCGUCUAGAAGGAGUUCUGGGGAGGAGCAUUGAACUGUCCUGAGCAGUCCUUUUCGAUCGUACUGAAUACACAACUUAUACUACGAGUGCUUUACCCACAAUUAUUUAUAAAGAAAAAAUGCAAAGAGCAACAAAAAAAAAAAAAAAAGAA
RNA transcript from Drosophila sulfurigaster albostrigata, 1580 nucleotides. It is a transcript of the gene named platelet-derived growth factor subunit A, with no coding region annotated. The transcript has 5 exons. NCBI's taxonomy places the organism in Eukaryota, Metazoa, Arthropoda, Insecta, Diptera, Drosophilidae. The record is from RefSeq and is a predicted model, not a curated record.